UACAGAGGUCUCAAGCGUUGUUCGGAUUCAUUGGGCGUAAAGGGUGCGUAGGUGGUGCUGUAAGUCAGGUGUGAAAUCCCGGGGCUCAACCCCGGAACUGCACUUGAUACUGCAGUGCUCGAGGACUGGAGAGGAGAUCGGAAUUCAUGGUGUAGCAGUGAAAUGCGUAGAUAUCAUGAGGAAGACCAGUGGCGAAGGCGGAUCUCUGGACAGUACCUGACACUGAGGCACGAAGGCCAGGGGAGCAAACGGG
This 253-nucleotide ribosomal RNA is filed under the name uncultured bacterium. Its description in RNAcentral is "partial 16S ribosomal RNA". It matches the Rfam family "Bacterial small subunit ribosomal RNA", at positions 524 to 776 of the family's 1533-position model. The record is from RNAcentral.